This 62-nucleotide transfer RNA is filed under the name bovine gut metagenome. It matches the Rfam family "tRNA", at positions 6 to 65 of the family's 71-position model. From Rfam's summary of the family: Transfer RNA (tRNA) molecules are approximately 80 nucleotides in length. Their secondary structure includes four short double-helical elements and three loops (D, anti-codon, and T loops). The record is from RNAcentral.
CUGUGGCGCAAUGGUAACGCGGCUGCCUUGUAAGCAGUAGACUGUUGGUUCAAAUCCGACCG